Molecule: ribosomal RNA, 484 nt
Filed under: uncultured bacterium
Lineage: Bacteria
Description: partial 16S ribosomal RNA
Rfam family: Bacterial small subunit ribosomal RNA
Source: RNAcentral
AUUGAACGCUGGCGGCAUGCUUUACACAUGCAAGUCGAACGGCAGCGCGGGCUUCGGCCUGGCGGCGAGUGGCGAACGGGUGAGUAAUACAUCGGAACGUGCCCAGUAGUGGGGGAUAGCUCGGCGAAAGCCGGAUUAAUACCGCAUACGACCUGAGGGUGAAAGCGGGGGAUCUUCGGACCUCGCGCUAUUGGAGCGGCCGAUGGCAGAUUAGCUAGUUGGUGGGGUAAAGGCCUACCAAGGCGACGAUCUGUAGCUGGUCUGAGAGGACGACCAGCCACACUGGGACUGAGACACGGCCCAGACUCCUACGGGAGGCAGCAGUGGGGAAUUUUGGACAAUGGGCGAAAGCCUGAUCCAGCAAUGCCGCGUGUGUGAUGAAGGCCUUCGGGUUGUAAAGCACUUUUGGCGGGAACGAAAAGGACUGUGCCAAUACCACGGUUCGAUGGCGGUACCCGCAGAAUAAGCACCGGCUAACUACGUG